RNAcentral lists this long non-coding RNA (1894 nucleotides) under Citrus sinensis (sweet orange). RNAcentral's name for it is "long non-coding RNA (CSIN_LNC003348)". The record is from RNAcentral. Lineage: Eukaryota; Viridiplantae; Streptophyta; Magnoliopsida; Sapindales; Rutaceae.
AAAGUAAUAAUUUUAUUCAGUCAGUAAAAAUGACAAACACUUGGAAGACUAUUCACAGCUAUGAAGAAAUACAUAAAUUCUCCAAUUUGUAAACAAAAAAACAACCAGUCAAGAUACUCAAAGAACUAAAAAAGCCAAUACAAAUUGAAACUAACUACAAUACUUAAAUAUAUAAUUUCUUGAAUUUGUAAACACCAUACCUCCUCAUGCUGAAAAAGGUAGCUGCACUUGCAAGAAAUUCCAAAACUAUCAUGUCUACCCCCUUGGCUAAUUCUUGUAUUUCUAUACUCACUCUGGGCUUGAUAGACUUAGCAUGAUACUUUGAUUUUUUAGGAUUGACUUGGCAUGGUUCGUGGUCCAAUCCUUAUUGGAAUUAUUAAAUUCUUUUCCAUGGUUACGGUGGCGAUUAUGAGAAUUUUUUUCUGUUUUAAAAUAAUUUUUAUAAGUUUUAUAAAUGGGUGCAUGAAGUAAGAUAAAAAUUAUAAUAAGGGUAAAUUAGGAAUUAAGUGGGGUAUAUUAAGAGAUAAAAAUUAAUUUAAAAUUAUUAAUGGGGUUAAUUGAAAAGUGGGGGUUUGUGAGAUAUAAUUAGGGGGUUAAAUAUCACCACUCUUCUCACACUCUAAGUUUUUAAAACAAAUAAAAAGAGAUGGGCUUUGCAAACUUAUUAACACUAAGAGGGGAUACAGAGCCACUGGUUGAAUGUAGUACCCAACUACCCAUUGUUACAAUAUUUGGAGUAAGAGCUACGAAAAUCAGUUUAUUUGUGCUAUUAGAUAUCAUGUCGAUGUUUUAAUUGCCUGGUUUUCUCAAAUCCUUAAAACUGAUUGUUAUUAGAAAAGAAUUAAUGGGGAAAGGAAAGUCAUGAAAAGUUCUUCUGUUGUGUUAACUGAAGCCAUGCAGCUGUUGCUUUGGAGAAGUUUGUACUAUCUGCUGAGUAUUUCAUUAAGAGGAAGUUAUAUUCAGUUUUUUUUUUUUAGAAAAGCUAUAUCCAGAUGUUGAUAUAGGAAUAAAUAAGAUUUAAUUAGUUUUUACUUUUGUUAUUUCUUGCAAGUGUAAAUAGGUUAAAAAACUGUUAAAUAUGUGAUAUGAGCAAGGAAAUUACAAUCAGAAGGGUUACUUGAGAGUUACAAUAGCUACUUUUGAACCUAAUUCUACUUUGAUAGAUUCAUAAUGCAUGCUUAUUUAAGAAAUUUGGCCACUUUGGUGGUCAAAAUCUACUCGGCAGUUGCAAAACUUCAUAAAUUGUAUAUAGAACAAAAAAAACAGUAAUGAUCAUUUUUAUAGAGAACGAAAGUAAUAAUUUUAUUCAGUCAGUAAAAAUGACAAACACUUGGAAGACUAUUCACAGCUAUGAAGAAAUACAUAAAUUCUCCAAUUUGUAAACAAAAAAACAACCAGUCAAGAUACUCAAAGAACUAAAAAAGCCAAUACAAAUUGAAACUAACUACAAUACUUAAAUAUAUAAUUUCUUGAAUUUGUAAACACCAUACCUCCUCAUGCUGAAAAAGGUAGCUGCACUUGCAAGAAAUUCCAAAACUAUCAUGUCUACCCCCUUGGCUAAUUCUUGUAUUUCUAUACUCACUCUGGGCUUGAUAGACUUAGCAUGAUACUUUGAUUUUUUAGGAUUGACUUGGCAUGGUUCGUGGUCCAAUCCUUAUUGGAAUUAUUAAAUUCUUUUCCAUGGUUACGGUGGCGAUUAUGAGAAUUUUUUUCUGUUUUAAAAUAAUUUUUAUAAGUUUUAUAAAUGGGUGCAUGAAGUAAGAUAAAAAUUAUAAUAAGGGUAAAUUAGGAAUUAAGUGGGGUAUAUUAAGAGAUAAAAAUUAAUUUAAAAUUAUUAAUGGGGUUAAUUGAAAAGUGGGGGUUUGUGAGAUAUAAUUAGGGGGUUAAAUAUCAC